This 254-nucleotide ribosomal RNA is filed under the name uncultured bacterium. RNAcentral describes it as "partial 16S ribosomal RNA". It matches the Rfam family "Bacterial small subunit ribosomal RNA", at positions 79 to 334 of the family's 1533-position model. The record is from RNAcentral.
CUUUCUUUGCUGGCGACCGGCGCACGGGUGAGUAACACGUAUCCAACCUGCCCUUUACUCGGGGAUAGCCUUUCGAAAGAAAGAUUAAUACCCGAUAGCAUAAUGAUUCCGCAUGGUUUCAUUAUUAAAGGAUUCCGGUAAAGGAUGGGGAUGCGUUCCAUUAGGUUGUUGGUGAGGUAACGGCUCACCAAGCCUUCGAUGGAUAGGGGUUCUGAGAGGAAGGUCCCCCACAUUGGAACUGAGACACGGUCCGA